CCAAUAGCGUAUAUUAAAGUUGUUGCAGUUAAAAAGCUCGUAGUUGAAUUUCGGGAUCAAUGCGUCGGUCGUGCCUUCGGUACGUACUAGCGUCAUUGAUUCCUCCCUUCUGAAGAACCGUGAUGUCAUUAAUUUGGUGUUACGGGGAAUCAGGACUGUUACCUUGAAAAAAUUAGAGUGUUUAAAGCAGGCUAACGCUUGAAUACAUUAGCAUGGAAUAAUGAAAUAGGACGUUCGAACCUAUUUUGUUGGUUUCUAGGAUCGACGUAAUGAUUAAUAGGGAUAGUUGGGGGCAUUAGUAUUCAAUUGUCAGAGGUGAAAUUCUUGGAUUUAUUGAAGACUAACUACUGCGAAAGCAUUUGCCAAGGAUGUUUUCAUUAAUCAAGAACGAAAGUUAGGGGAUCGAAGACGAUCAGAUACCGUCGUAGUCUUAACCAUAAACUAUGCCGACUAGGGAUCGGAUGAUGUUAAUUUUUUAAUGACUCAUUCGGCGCCUUACGGGAAACCAAAGUGUUUGGUUC
Molecule: ribosomal RNA, 521 nt
Filed under: uncultured Glomus
Lineage: Eukaryota; Fungi; Glomeromycota; Glomeromycetes; Glomerales; Glomeraceae
Description: SSU rRNA
Rfam family: Eukaryotic small subunit ribosomal RNA
Source: RNAcentral